This 23-nucleotide small nuclear RNA is filed under the name Arabidopsis thaliana (thale cress). RNAcentral's name for it is "snRNA_10982". Lineage: Eukaryota; Viridiplantae; Streptophyta; Magnoliopsida; Brassicales; Brassicaceae. The record is from RNAcentral.
GUGUGAAACGCAUACCCCAAUAA